UACCAGCACCCCGAGUGGUCGGGACGUUUAUUGGGCCUAAAGCAUCCGUAGCCGGUUCUACAAGUCUUCCGUUAAAUCCAACCGCUUAACAGAUGGGCUGCGGAAGAUACUAUAGAGCUAGGAGGCGGGAGAGGCAAGCGGUACUCGAUGGGUAGGGGUAAAAUCCGUUGAUCCAUUGAAGACCACCAGUGGCGAAGGCGGCUUGCCAGAACGCGCUCGACGGUGAGGGAUGAAAGCUGGGGGAGCAAACCGG
RNAcentral lists this ribosomal RNA (253 nucleotides) under uncultured bacterium. RNAcentral's name for it is "partial 16S ribosomal RNA". It matches the Rfam family "Archaeal small subunit ribosomal RNA", at positions 474 to 727 of the family's 1478-position model. The record is from RNAcentral.